GUCCACGCCGUAAACUAUGGAUGCUAGCCGUCGGCAAGCUUGCUUGUCGGUGGCGCAGCUAACGCUUUAAGCAUCCCGCCUGGGGAGUACGGCCGCAAGGUUAAAACUCAAAGGAAUUGACGGGGGCCCGCACAAGCGGUGGAGCAUGUGGUUUAAUUCGACGCAACGCGAAGAACCUUACCAGCUCUUGACAUGUCCGGACGGUUUCCAGAGAUGGGAUCCUCCUAGCAAUAGGCCGGAACACAGGUGCUGCAUGGCUGUCGU
Molecule: ribosomal RNA, 264 nt
Filed under: uncultured bacterium
Lineage: Bacteria
Description: partial 16S ribosomal RNA
Rfam family: Bacterial small subunit ribosomal RNA
Source: RNAcentral